AUUGUUAGACACCUCUAUUGCUCCUUGCUUUCGAUAACGGCUCCAUGAAGCUUUGCAUCCUCAAGAUAAGGAUCUGAUUGGUGUCAUGGUAAUACACAUGGUGAUGACAAGGUCCCUUAGUCCUGCCACCCAAGGCAGGGAUUUGAGCAGACUUGGAUGCUCGUGACAACCAUUCUCCAGGAUCGAAAUAUUGUCAAUGGGAAAUCAAAGGUGUUCCUUUGAGAAUCGAGAUCGGUCCAAAAGAUUUGUCAAAUAAGCAGAUAGGCUGGAACGAAUAUUUGCCUGUGGCAGCGAUGUCCUUUUCUUGAUCUGCAUGGUUAAGGUGAAAUUCUGGGCAACGUGAUGUACCCUUGUCCCUAGAUCUACCCUUGGACAUGGCUUCUUGCUCUUCCUACGGUAACAUGGUUUUUUUUUGUCCUGGCUUUGACAUUGGUGGCGGAUGUGGGCCGCUGCUGGUGUCGCCGGAGAGGAUGCCACCGUCCUUGUGUCCUGCUGCUCGACGAUAACUACGGUGACGAGAUCGAUCACGGCGACCUUCCUCCAUCGCGCCGCCGUGCAGGGCCGCCGCCACCGUCCCGCUUCCUCCAUCGCGCCGUGGUGAAUGGCCGGGCUUCACGCAGGUUCAGAUUGACCACGCCAAGCUGUUGAUCGAUCAUUCUAUGGCAGAGGAACAGGUUCAAGUAAAUUGAUCAAACCCAGUUCAGCUUGCCUGAUCCUUAUCCAUCUGCGUUUGCAGAAAUGGGAGAUGGGAGAAGAAGAAAUCUGCACAAAAGGAGAAGAAGAAAGCUGAACAAGAGACAUUUCUAACAAAUACUUUGAUUCUUCGAAAAGCUCUACACUUUAAGUCCACUAAUUUAGUAUUUAUUUCAGGUUCACUCCAUGAAAAUGAAAAAUAAAAGAUCAAAUGCAAAAAAGAAAAUCAUCCGAGAGAGACAGCCUACAACAAGAGGAGACGAAAUAUGAGGAAUCUUUUUUCUUGGACAUUAGUUUUUCUUUUUGAAACGCGGGCAAAAGCUUUGCCCUUUCUAUUAAUUAAGGAGAAGUUUUACAAGAAAAAAAAGGUGUUGGACUAUCGAUACUUUGGCUCAUGCGUUGGAAAAGGCAACGGGACAUGGGCUUCUCAAUAAGAUCCGAGGGCGGGGUACCAUCCUCCGCACAUCUCUUUAUGCGGAUGAUGUGGCGGUUUUGUAGCCCCUAUUAAAGAAGACAUUCAAAACCUCGCCCACAUCCUCAAUGACUUCGGAAAGGUUACCAGGCUAUGCACAAACUUCCUCAAGAGCUCCGUAGUGCCCAUAAGGAACCGUUUGACUUUAGUGUUAGCAACAUAAAUCCAACAAUGACAGCUGCAUCACCAUAUGGAGGUUCAUCGUCUGUCGUUAUGCCUCCAAUUCUAGGAAAAUAUACAAGCAUGUUGUAUCAAGUUCAGCAAAGCUCCGCUCCUGUGUCCAGUUCUCUGCAAUUACGCUUUGAUGGAACUGGAGAAGUCCAACAAUACGAUGGAUCAAAGUUAGAGAUGAAUUGUGUAAUUUAAGGAUGUUGGAUGCAGACCUUUGUUAUAAUCUUUUAUGCACUUGGAAAUUUUAAUGUAAUAGCUAAUAGGCACAGGGUAGUAGAAAGUAAACGAAUUUAUGUUUCGGAAUCUGGAUUCUCCACAGUGUAUUUGAACUGAUUAUUGAAUUAUAUGCGAUUGCAAUUUUCAGUA
Non-coding RNA from Lolium perenne, 1702 nucleotides. The record is from RefSeq and is a predicted model, not a curated record. Lineage: Eukaryota; Viridiplantae; Streptophyta; Magnoliopsida; Poales; Poaceae.